CCCUUAGAUGUUCUGGGCCGCACGCGCGCUACACUGAUGAACGCAACGAGACCACCUGUACCGAAAGGCAUGGGUAAACUUGUGAAAGUUCAUCGUGAUGGGGAUAGAUUAUUGCAAUUAUUAAUCUUCAACGAGGAAUUCCUAGUAAGCGCGAGUCAUCAGCUCGCGUUGAUUACGUCCCUGCCCUUUGUACACACCGCCCGUCGCUCCUACCGAUUGAAUGGUCCGGUGAAAUCUUCGGAUUGCUGGAUAGGACUUCAUUGACCUAUCUGCGAGAAGUUACUUGAACCUUAUCAUUUAGAGGAAGGAGAANUCGUAACA
Molecule: ribosomal RNA, 321 nt
Filed under: uncultured eukaryote
Lineage: Eukaryota
Description: partial 18S ribosomal RNA
Rfam family: Eukaryotic small subunit ribosomal RNA
Source: RNAcentral